AGAAAAUCAAGAGGAAUGGGAGCUUCCAUUAGGAAUUACCCCGAACGAGUUGAUAGGCGAAAUCAUGACUAAAUGGUCCAGCCAACCGUUUGGCACGUACGAGGAGCUGAUGUUUGAGCGAGAUAUGAGAUUUAUCGACUGGCUAUCAGAGCUCCCUCCAAACAUGUAUAGAAUGCCUGAAAAUAUAAACGACGAAAUACGGAGAAUAAGGUAUAAAAAGAAAAAUAAUCCCGUUUGUCUAAAACAAAAUAAAAAAUCUAUUUUUAAAGCGAGCUGUGGGAAAAUCCACCAGAUUCAUCGGAUUAUCUAAGGCGCAAUUUUUACUUAAGAGACAUG
This 336-nucleotide long non-coding RNA is filed under the name Androctonus crassicauda. The record is from RNAcentral. Lineage: Eukaryota; Metazoa; Arthropoda; Arachnida; Scorpiones; Buthidae.